AGCAGCCGCGGUAAUUCCAGCUCCAAUAGCGUAUAUUAAAGUUGUUGCAGUUAAAAAGCUCGUAGUUGAAUUUCGGGAUUGGCGCAUCGGUCGUGCCUCACGGGGUAUGAACUGGUGCAGUCAAUUUCUCACCUUCUGGAGAACCGCGAUGUCCUUAAUUGGGUGCCGCGGGGAACCAGGACCUUUACUUUGAAAAAUUAGAGUGUUUAAAGCAGGCAUUUUUGCUUGAAUACAUUAGCAUGGAAUAAUAAAAUAGGACGGCAUGGUUCUAUUUUGUUGGUUUCUAGGACCACCGUAAUGAUUAAUAGGGAUAGUUGGGGGCAUUAGUAUUCAAUUGUCAGAGGUGAAAUUCUUGGAUUUAUUGAAGACUAACUACUGCGAAAGCAUUUGCCAAGGAUGUUUUCAUUAAUCAAGAACGAAAGUUAGGGGAUCGAAGACGAUCAGAUACCGUCGUAGUCUUAACCAUAAACUAUGCCGACUAGGAAUCAGACGAUGUUAAUUUUUAAUGUACUCG
Molecule: ribosomal RNA, 514 nt
Filed under: uncultured Entrophosporaceae
Lineage: Eukaryota; Fungi; Glomeromycota; Glomeromycetes; Entrophosporales; Entrophosporaceae
Description: SSU rRNA
Rfam family: Eukaryotic small subunit ribosomal RNA
Source: RNAcentral